CGGGACGGGUGAGUAACGCGUGGAUAACCUGCCUUUCACAGGGGGAUAACAGCUGGAAACGGCUGCUAAUACCGCAUGAGCCUCUUUUGUCGCAUGAGAAGAGAGGGAAAGAGAAAUCGGUGAGAGAUGAAUCCGCGUCCGAUUAGCUAGUUGGAGGGGUAACAGCCCACCAAGGCGACGAUCGGUAGCCGACCUGAGAGGGUGGACGGCCACAUUGGGACUGAGACACGGCCCAAACUCCUACGGAAGGCAGCAG
Molecule: ribosomal RNA, 256 nt
Filed under: uncultured bacterium
Lineage: Bacteria
Description: partial 16S ribosomal RNA
Rfam family: Bacterial small subunit ribosomal RNA
Source: RNAcentral